RNAcentral lists this ribosomal RNA (1643 nucleotides) under Cladosiphon okamuranus. RNAcentral's name for it is "bacterial SSU rRNA". It matches the Rfam family "Bacterial small subunit ribosomal RNA". Lineage: Eukaryota; Phaeophyceae; Ectocarpales; Chordariaceae. The record is from RNAcentral.
AGAGUUUGAUCCUGGCUCAGAAUGAACGCUGGGGGCAGGCAUAACACAUGCAAGUCGAACGCGUCUCCAAAUAAUUUCGGGGACGAGUGGCGAACGGGUGAGUAAGACACGAGAAUCUACCUUUCAGAUCAGGGAAUCCCGGGUAAUCUUCUUUUCCUAGAGAAUCCUGAAUAUUCAAAGGUAACACCGCUGAGAGAUGAGCUCGUGGAGGAUUAGGUAGUUGGUGGGGUAAAGGCCUACCAAGCCCAAGAUCCUUCGUUGAUCCGAGAGGAUGGUCAACCACACUGGGAUUGAGAGACGGCCCAGACACCUUCGGGCGGCAGCAGUGAGGAAUCUUGGACAAUGGGCGAAAGCCUGAUCCAGCCAUGCCCCAUGGGGGAGGAAGGUUGUUUUGAUCGUAAACCCCUGCUUCCGGAAAGAGAUGAUGACAAGAUCCGGAAAAUAGUCCCGGCAAACUCCGUGCCAGCAGCCGCGGUAAUACGGGGGGGGCAAGCGUUGUUCGGAAUGAUUGGGCGUAAAGAGCAUGUAGGUGGUCCCAUUUCUAAACCUUUCACUUUAAAUGUGAACCCCGCUGUGAAAAGUGGGGAUUGAAAUCCCUGGGUAAACCGAGGUUGAAUGGGUGGAGAGGGGGCUUGAGGAAGGGUGAGGAGAGUGGAAUUCCCGGAGAAGAGGUAAAAUUCGGAGAGCCCGGGAGGAAGGCGGAAUGCGAAGGCAAUUCUCUACCUCUUUCCUGACACUGAGAUGCGAAAGCAUGGGGAGCGAAAGGGAUUAGAGACCCCUGCAGUCCAUGCCGUCAACGAUGAGGAUUCAUCCUGAAGGGUCCUCCCAACACACUUUUCACUAAAAAAGUACCCAAAACGUUUCUUUUAAAAUUUAAAAGAGGCGAAAGUUUUUCAAUGAAAAGAGUAGGAGAGGAGCCCCUCGGGGUUUAGCAAACGCGAUAAAUCCUCCGCCUGAGGAGUACGGCCGCAAGGCUAAAACUCAAAGGAAUAGACGGGGGCUCAUACAAGUGGUGGAACAUGUGGUUUAAUUCGAAACAACGCGCAAAACCUUACCAGUCCUUGACAAGACUUUCUAUCCCUCCCACUUAUCCGGGAGAUGUGAAAAAAGUCACAGGUGUUGCAUGGCUGUCGUCAGCUCGUGUCGUGAGAUGUCUGGUUGAUUCCUUUAACGAGCGCAACCCUUCUGGAGAGUUGUUCCAGGGAAACACUCUCUCCACACUGCCGGUGAUAUACUGGAGGAAGGAGAGGAUCACGUCAAGUCAUCAUGACCCUUAUGGGCUGGGCUACACACGUGUUACAAUGGCGGUCACAAAGGGAAGCAAUGGUGAAAGCCGGAGCAAAUCCAUAAAAGCCGUCUCAGUUCGGAUUGUUCUCUGCAACUCGAGAACAUGAAGUUGGAAUCACUAGUAAUCGUGGAUCAGCACGCCACGGUGAAUCUGUACCUGGGCCUUGUACUCCCCGCCCGUCACGCUCCGGAAAUCGAAUGGGUCGGAAACUAGUCCUAAACUGAAAGGGGAGUUGCAUAUAAAACUCUUGAAAAGGGGGAAGAGAACUCCUCAAACAGGGAAAAAGAGUGGUCAAGAACUGUUUGGUAACUGGAGCGAAGUCGUAACAAGGUAGCCGUAGGGGAACCUGCGGCUG